Molecule: unclassified non-coding RNA, 348 nt
Filed under: fungal sp.
Lineage: Eukaryota; Fungi
Description: partial internal transcribed spacer region
Rfam family: Eukaryotic small subunit ribosomal RNA (bases 1-46)
Source: RNAcentral
AAGUCGUAACAAGGUAACCGUAGGUGAACCUGCGGUUGGAUCAUUAACAAAUGAUUUGGUUUUAAACCAAAACACAUUGUGCAAUUAUAUCUGUCUCUGGUGGUCGGUUUCAUGGUUUUUUUUGUUGUUACUUUCUUUAGGUCUUGAAGCAAGAAUUGCCAGUGACAUUUGAAAUGACUUUGGUCAUUGAGAAUUGAGGCAGAUUCGAGCUGAUGAUAUUUCCUUUGAAGGCUGCAGAAAAAUCGCGAUCACCAAAUGAACAAACAUUUUGAUUUAUUUUUUAUGUCUGAAUCAUUCACUAUUUGUGCAAUGAAAAAACAACUUUUGACAACGGAUCUCUUGGCUCUC